UACCAGACUCCUACGGGAGGCAGCAGUGGGGGAUAUUGCACAAUGGGGGAAACCCUGAUGCAGCGACGCCGCGUGAGUGAAGAAGUAUUUCGGUAUGUAAAGCUCUAUCAGCAGGGACGAAAAUGACGGUACCUGAGUAAGAAGCCCCGGCUAACUACGUGCCAGCAGCCGCGGUAAUACGUAGGGGGCAAGCGUUAUCCGGAUUUACUGGGUGUAAAGGGAGCGUAGACGGUUAUGCAAGUCUGGAGUGAAGGGCGGGGGCUCAACCCCCGGACUGCUCUGGAAACUGUAGAACUAGAGUGCGGGAGGGGUAAGUGGAAUUCCUAGUGUAGCGGUGAAAUGCGUAGAUAUUAGGAGGAACACCAGUGGCGAAGGCGGCUUACUGGACUGUAACUGACGUUGAGGCUCGAAAGCGUGGGGAGCAAACAGGAUUAGAUACCCGGGUAGA
RNAcentral lists this ribosomal RNA (448 nucleotides) under uncultured bacterium. Its description in RNAcentral is "bacterial SSU rRNA". It matches the Rfam family "Bacterial small subunit ribosomal RNA", at positions 329 to 794 of the family's 1533-position model. The record is from RNAcentral.